ACCCGUAGAGCCAUCUUAUCUUCUUCUCCGUCCUCGUAUCGUAACUAACAGAAAGAGAUUAAGAACCAGAGAGAAAAAUAAACGAGAAGAAAAUAAGAGUUGCAGUGAGGGUACAGUAGUAGUGAGUGCUGAUUGGGUGAGGAAUUAGUUAGAAGUUGGUGUUUAUGGGAGACUUUAUAUCGUGGAGAUGAAGGAAGAAGAAAUUAGAUACGUUGGUCGAAGAACUUGAAGAUAAUGGAUGGAAGAAAUAUCAAAGAAGGAGAUCGCGAUAAACCAUGAUGAAGGGUAUGUUCGUGUAGAUAUUUUUGUGCUCGGCAGGUCAGGGUUGACAACAUCCCUGGAUUGAGAUAUUGCAAAUGUUUUUGUUAAGAGAUAAACUUUCCUGUUGAGAAUAUUGAUCUCGAUGAUUAUGAUUGAAAAAGUGAGGAAGGACUUGAAGGAUCUGAAGGGGCAUGAAGAUAUUUCCAUUUCGAAGUACAAAACCUAAUGUCCAAAGACAGUAGGUUAUCCAAUUGAUUUUCAGUACCCUCUUUGUUCUCUCUUUGAAGAUUUUGCCAGAGAAGCUUGAAGCUUGUAAGAAGUUAGCAAUAGCUAAUUCUAAUUUAUUUUCUAUCUCAACUGUAUUGGCUCAAUUUCACCUUCUCUUUUUUGGCCAUUAAUGGUUAAGUGGAAGACAAAACAAGUUUUCUCGCCGAAGUCGUGUAAUAUAUGAUUAAUGGAAUAAAGAUUGCUCAUAGGGUUUGACUGCUCGAGCGUAG
Molecule: long non-coding RNA, 758 nt
Organism: Papaver somniferum (opium poppy)
Lineage: Eukaryota; Viridiplantae; Streptophyta; Magnoliopsida; Ranunculales; Papaveraceae
Exons: 3
Source: RefSeq, a predicted model, not a curated record